Cygnus olor (mute swan) is the source of this 857-nucleotide long non-coding RNA. RefSeq lists it as uncharacterized. NCBI's taxonomy places the organism in Eukaryota, Metazoa, Chordata, Aves, Anseriformes, Anatidae. The record is from RefSeq and is a predicted model, not a curated record. The transcript has 3 exons.
UAUCUCUGCGUGUCAGCUAAGGACCAGCACUACGUUCAUCCCAGAGCCCUUCCUGGAAGCCCCUGCUAAUGUGUAAUUCCUGCCUCGACGUUCUUACUGCCCUGUCAUAUGGUAGGAGAAACUGUAAAGAAAUGCUGAUAAAAAGCCAAGGUCCCAGCAUAUUGAGCACACAAGCAGUUUUGUCCUGUAUUGACAGUGUUGUAGAAAUUUACAGGUAGUUUACUGCAGAAGGAUGAGGCUCUGAUGGAGCCAGAGAGAAAAGUGCCCAGAUGGAUCAACCUUUUUAAGAGCGGGGGUAAGCUGAAACCUCUUCAGAAGAAGAUGAAGCCAUAUUUGAAAUCCCACUUGAAUUCUCCUUUGACAGCUGCUAAUGAUCUGCCAGGGCAAAGGCUGGAUUUGAAACUGAUUGCUAUCAAUAUUUACAUCUGGGAAUGCAUCUGAAUGUCACGGAGCGUUUAGGAAAUUGGUUGUCAGAGGAUUGCAGCAGAGGUACCUUGCAGGAGAGAACACAGCUUUAGAGACCCUUUCUUCAAAAGAUGGGAUGAAGUAUCUGUGGCCUUGCAAGAAGGACGUCAGGAUUUGGUAACCACGCAAGGGAGGCAUUCCUACAUACUGGGCAUGCUAGCUCCAGCCUCCCAUCAUGGUUUCCCCAGGCCUAGGGGAAAGGAGGGACAGCACCCUGUGGUCCUGUUACCUCCUAGGGCAUGGCAGCUGCAUUCAGUCAUGUGUUGACCAGGGUACAUCUCCCUUUGCUUGUGCAAAUCAGGCAAGCAAAGGGAAAUGUACCCUGGUCAACACAUGACUGAAUGCAGCUGCCAUGCCCUAGGAGGUAACAGGACCACAGGGUGCUGAUGGAA